UAGUUUUUCCUUUUCCUAAUUUUGAUUUUUCUGAGUCUUGAGCUAAUCCCUUCUUUUCUUGUAAUUAGGGCCUCCCCUCAGCAAGAAACCUGAUCUUACCCCUCAAAAGUCGCAAGCGGGCAUGGAUGUGUAACAAAGAGACACGGAAGUCCUCGCCAAGAUUCUAGAUGAGUUGAAGGUAUCCUUCUUAACUUUUGAGUGUUCAGUUAAUUCUAAAGUUCAAUGCUCUUGUACUUAGCUGAUUCUUGUUAUUCUCCAAAAUAGGCUACCAAAGCAUAGGGGACUUCACAAACCAAGCUUUCUUCUCCUCUAGCCUGACUUGCGCAUACUUUUCCUUCUCGGGCUAAGCACUCAAAGGUAAAAUCAUCACUUUCAAUACUUGUUAAUUAUGUAUUUAUGACUUUUAAAUGUUGACCUUAUUUUUGUUAUUUUCCAGGCAAUGAGAGAUACUACAGUGCCUCAGGUCGGGCAAGCAUCAAACCGUCAUACUUCUUUUAUUCCUCCAUCAAUGGUGGUUACUUAUACUUUUUAGUUCAAUCCAACAACUGGGGAGAUGCUCUACUUUGUAGAGGAUGACGGUACUUCUGUAAGUCUUAUCUCUUUAAGCCCUUUUAAGUUUUUCUUUAAGUUUCUUCACUUUGAACUUACACUCUAUAUGUUGUCUUUGCCAGUCUUCUCCCAUGCCUAAGACCAUUAUUCGACCAACACCAGCCACUGGGGAGCCUAUAGCCCCUAAGAUACAAGUUAUCUCAAAGGUGACCAGUUCUAAGGCUCCU
Molecule: long non-coding RNA, 776 nt
Filed under: Malus domestica (apple)
Lineage: Eukaryota; Viridiplantae; Streptophyta; Magnoliopsida; Rosales; Rosaceae
Description: long non-coding RNA (MDOM_LNC008192)
Source: RNAcentral